This 587-nucleotide ribosomal RNA is filed under the name uncultured bacterium. Its description in RNAcentral is "partial 16S ribosomal RNA". It matches the Rfam family "Bacterial small subunit ribosomal RNA", at positions 355 to 937 of the family's 1533-position model. The record is from RNAcentral.
UGGGGAAUUUUGGACAAUGGGCGAAAGCCUGAUCCAGCAAUGCCGCGUGUGUGAAGAAGGCCUUCGGGUUGUAAAGCACUUUUGUCCGGAAAGAAAUCCUUGGCUCUAAUACAGUCGGGGGAUGACGGUACCGGAAGAAUAAGCACCGGCUAACUACGUGCCAGCAGCCGCGGUAAUACGUAGGGUGCAAGCGUUAAUCGGAAUUACUGGGCGUAAAGCGUGCGCAGGCGGUUUGCUAAGACCGAUGUGAAAUCCCCGGGCUCAACCUGGGAACUGCAUUGGUGACUGGCAGGCUAGAGUAUGGCAGAGGGGGGUAGAAUUCCACGUGUAGCAGUGAAAUGCGUAGAGAUGUGGAGGAAUACCGAUGGCGAAGGCAGCCCCCUGGGCCAAUACUGACGCUCAUGCACGAAAGCGUGGGGGAGCAAACAGGAUUAGAUACCCCUGGUAGUCCACGCCCUAAACGAUGUCAACUAGUUGUUGGGGAUUCAUUUCCUUAGUAACGUAGCUAACGCGUGAAGUUGACCGCCUGGGGGAGUACGGUCGCAAGAUUAAAACUCAAAGGAAUUGACGGGGUCAUAGCUGUUUCC